AUACGGAGGGUGCAAGCGUUACUCGGAAUCACUGGGCGUAAAGCGCGCGCAGGCGGUCUUUUAAGUUGGAUGUGAAAGCCUACGGCUCAACCGUAGAACUGCAUCCAAAACUAUUAGACUAGAGUGUGGGAGAGGAAGAUGGAAUUAGUUGUGUAGGGGUAAAAUCCGUAGAGAUAACUAUGAAUACCAAAAGCGAAGGCAAUCUUCUGGAACACUACUGACGCUGAGGCGCGAAAGCGUGGGGAGCAAACAGGAUUAGAUACCCUAGUAGUCC
This 274-nucleotide ribosomal RNA is filed under the name uncultured bacterium. RNAcentral's name for it is "partial 16S ribosomal RNA". It matches the Rfam family "Bacterial small subunit ribosomal RNA", at positions 523 to 796 of the family's 1533-position model. The record is from RNAcentral.